CUGGUCUAGCCGGACUGCGCUUGCGCGUGGGAAGCCUGGGGUAGGCCCUGCUGUUUUUCUAACUCUAGUUCAAUCCUACACUGCCGUCUCAACCAAAACAAGGCGCAAGAAAAUCCCCCUCCUGGACGGCAAAUAACCGAGGGUUUCCAUCACCAUUGGAUUUGUUUGGAAGUAAAACUCUCAAUGACAGUCCACAGGAGCCCUUCUGCAACCUUCCCAACCUAAAGAAGCUUUCUUACUGUCUUGAUGAAAAGAACAGGAUGCUGUCAUCUCUAUUCAGAAGAUUUUAGAGCAGAUUUACAGUGGUUCAGGAGUAUUGCUGCUAUUACAGAAAUAAUGACAU
Sinocyclocheilus grahami is the source of this 343-nucleotide long non-coding RNA. RefSeq lists it as uncharacterized. Lineage: Eukaryota; Metazoa; Chordata; Actinopteri; Cypriniformes; Cyprinidae. The transcript is spliced from 4 exons. The record is from RefSeq and is a predicted model, not a curated record.